RNAcentral lists this ribosomal RNA (1128 nucleotides) under Triticum aestivum (bread wheat). Its description in RNAcentral is "partial small subunit ribosomal RNA". The record is from RNAcentral. Lineage: Eukaryota; Viridiplantae; Streptophyta; Magnoliopsida; Poales; Poaceae.
CAGGUCUUCAUUUGCAUAACAAUUAUCAUCACAGAUGGAAUGUUCAACUUCCUUACGGUCAUUAUUGCAUCUUGUAUUGACAUUAAGCACAAGCGGCAAGAUAUUGAUUCAGGGUUGAGUAAUUACAUGAAAAAAUACCCUAGCCUUAACUAUGAUGAUCGUAAGAGGAUUGAGGUAUUUCUUCAAAAUAAAAUCCCUUUAACCAUAUCAGUGGGAGGAUACAUUGCAAGUGCUACAAUCUCAGUAGUCGUUAUCCCAUGGUUGUUCGAUCAGAUUAAAUUCUAUCAUGUUGCCACAUUAUAUAUUAUCACGCCGGUCAUUGCGUUUGCAAACACUUAUGCAAAUGGACUUACAGAUUGGUCAGUUGGAUAUACUUAUGGCAAGUUUACAAUAUUUGUUGUUGCGGCAUGGAUUGUGAAACCGGGUGCAAUUGUUGCUGGCCUUGUAGCUUGUGGGAUAAUGAUAGCAGCUCUGCACAUUUCUUCACAAGCUACACAAGACAUCAAGACAGCUUUCAUGACACUAACCUCGGAAAGAGCUAUGGUAAUUGGGCAAAUUGUUGGUGUAGUUAUUGGCUCUAUUGUUAGCCCAUGUAUAUUUCUUGCCUUUCAAAAAAGUGAAAAGCCUGGGGUUACUAUUGGAUCUGCUCAAUCACAUUACCCAUGUCCUUUUGCUGGACUCUUUCGUUCCAUCGGUGUGAUUGGCAUUGGAGGAGUGAAGGAGCUCCCUAAGUAUUGUCUUACAAUGUGCUUUGCUGCAUUUUGCAUAAAAAUUGUCACAGAUAUACUUUCAUUGGUAUCUCAGGGAAAAGGUUGGAGAAUGCACAAGUAUCUUCCUAAUAUGACAGUGGUAGCACUACCAUUCUUUGCAGGGCCCGAUUUCCCCAUAGAUAUGUGCCUAGGUACUGCGGUAAUGUAUCUAUGGACUAAAAUGAAUAAAAGAAGUUCAACUUUGUUGUCAUCGGCAGUUGCAGCAGGCCUUAUAUGUGGAGAGGGACUAUUUGCAUUGCCAUCAGUAGUACUCACUACGUUCAGUAUACAACCACCAAUGUGCAUGAAGUUUUUUCAUAGUGGAAAAGAAGUUGAUGUGGUUGAAUCAUUCUUAAAUAAGUUGGGAACACCCACAAAG